RNAcentral lists this ribosomal RNA (429 nucleotides) under Bacteroidota bacterium. RNAcentral's name for it is "Bacteroidetes bacterium partial 16S ribosomal RNA". It matches the Rfam family "Bacterial small subunit ribosomal RNA", at positions 355 to 776 of the family's 1533-position model. The record is from RNAcentral. Lineage: Bacteria; Pseudomonadati; Bacteroidota.
UAGGGAAUCUUCGGCAAUGGGGGGAACCCUGACCGAGCAACGCCGCGUGAGUGAAGAAGGUUUUCGGAUCGUAAAGCUCUGUUGUUAAAGAAGAACGAGUGUGAGAAUGGAAAGUUCAUACUGUGACGGUACUUAACCAGAAAGGGACGGCUAACUACGUGCCAGCAGCCGCGGUAAUACGUAGGUCCCGAGCGUUGUCCGGAUUUAUUGGGCGUAAAGCGAGCGCAGGCGGUUAGAAAAGUCUGAAGUGAAAGGCAGUGGCUCAACCAUUGUAGGCUUUGGAAACUGUUUAACUUGAGUGCAGAAGGGGAGAGUGGAAUUCCAUGUGUAGCGGUGAAAUGCGUAGAUAUAUGGAGGAACACCGGUGGCGAAAGCGGCUCUCUGGUCUGUAACUGACGCUGAGGCUCGAAAGCGUGGGGAGCGAACAGG